GGUUCCUGCGGAAGGAUCAUUAAUGAUUAACUGUCUGUCGAGCUUGCUCACAGACUUAUCAUAUCCAUAACACCUGUGCACUUGUCGGAUGGCUUAGUGAAGACCGCAAGGUUGGAACUAUCCAUCUACUUUACAUAACAAUUUAGUAACAAAUGUAGUCUUAUUAUAACAUAAUAAAACUUUCAACAACGGAUCUCUUGGCUCUCGCAUCGAUGAAGAACGCAGCGAAAUGCGAUAAGUAAUGUGAAUUGCAGAAUUCAGUGAAUCAUCGAAUCUUUGAACGCACCUUGCGCUCCCUGGUAUUCCGGGGAGCAUGCCUGUUUGAGUGUCAUGAAAACCCUCAACCUUAGAUUGGUUAACACCUUUCUUUGGCUUGGAUUUGGACGUUUGCCGAUGAUAAGUCGGCUCGUCUUAAAAGUAAUAGCUGGAUCUGUCUCGCGACAUGGUUUGACUUGGCGUAAUAAGUAUUUCGCUAAGGACAUCUUCGGAUGGCCGCGUUGCAAGACUAAAGACCGCUUUCUAAUCCAUUGAUCUUCGGAUUAAUAUUCUUGACAUCUGGCCUCAAAUCAGGUAGGACUACCCGCUGAACUUAAGCAUAUCAAAACGCGGGGGG
RNAcentral lists this unclassified non-coding RNA (613 nucleotides) under Naganishia albidosimilis. RNAcentral's name for it is "contains ITS1, 5.8S rRNA and ITS2". The stretch from base 178 to 331 matches the Rfam family "5.8S ribosomal RNA". Lineage: Eukaryota; Fungi; Basidiomycota; Tremellomycetes; Filobasidiales; Filobasidiaceae. The record is from RNAcentral.